Molecule: ribosomal RNA, 192 nt
Filed under: uncultured bacterium
Lineage: Bacteria
Description: partial 16S ribosomal RNA
Rfam family: Bacterial small subunit ribosomal RNA
Source: RNAcentral
UACGGGAGGCAGCAGUGAGGAAUUUUGCGCAAUGGGGGAAACCCUGACGCAGCAACGCCGCGUGAGUGAUGAAGGCUUUCGGGUCGUAAAGCUCUGUCAAGUGGGAAGAAUCCACGUAACAUUAAUACUGUUAUGUGCUGACGGUACCACUGAAGGAAGCACCGGCUAACUCCGUGCCAGCAGCCGCGGUAA